This 480-nucleotide ribosomal RNA is filed under the name uncultured bacterium. RNAcentral describes it as "partial 16S ribosomal RNA". It matches the Rfam family "Bacterial small subunit ribosomal RNA", at positions 29 to 507 of the family's 1533-position model. The record is from RNAcentral.
AUGAACGCUGGCGGCGUGCUUAACACAUGCAAGUCGAACGAAGCACUUUAUUUGAUUUCCUUCGGGACUGAUUAUUUUGUGACUGAGUGGCGGACGGGUGAGUAACGCGUGGGUAACCUGCCUUGUACAGGGGGAUAACAGUUGGAAACGGCUGCUAAUACCGCAUAAGCGCACAGCAUCGCAUGAUGCAGUGUGAAAAACUCCGGUGGUAUAAGAUGGACCCGCGUUGGAUUAGCUAGUUGGUGAGGUAACGGCCCACCAAGGCGACGAUCCAUAGCCGACCUGAGAGGGUGACCGGCCACAUUGGGACUGAGACACGGCCCAAACUCCUACGGGAAGCAGCAGUGGGGAAUAUUGCACAAUGGGCGAAAGCCUGAUGCAGCGACGCCGCGUGAGCGAAGAAGUAUUUCGGUAUGUAAAGCUCUAUCAGCAGGGAAGAUAAUGACGGUACCUGACUAAGAAGCACCGGCUAAAUACGUG